GAUGAACGCUAGCGGCAGGCUUAACACAUGCAAGUCGAGGGGCAGCGGGGAGGAAGCUUGCUUUCUCCGCCGGCGACCGGCGCACAGGUGAGUAACACGUAUGCAACCUGCCCCUGUCAGGGGGACAACCCGCCGAAAGGCGGGCUAAACCCGCGUACAUGCCACCGGGGCAUCCCGGAGGCAGGAAAGGCUUCGGCCGGACAGGGAUGGGCAUGCGGCGCAUUAGGCAGUAGGCGGGGUAACGGCCCACCUAACCGACGAUGCGUAGGGGUUCUGAGAGGAAGGUCCCCCACACUGGUACUGAGACACGGACCAGACCCCUACGGGAGGCAGCAGUGAGGAAUAUUGGUCAAUGGUCGGGAGACUGAACCAGCCAAGCCGCGUGAGGGAGGAAGGUACAGAGUAUCGUAAACCUCUUUUGUCAGGGAACAAAGGCGGGGACGUGUCCCCGGAUGAGUGUACCUGAAGAAAAAGCAUCGGCUAACUCCGUGCCAGCAGCCGCGGUAAUACGGAGGAUGCGAGCGUUAUCCGGAUUUAUUGGGUUUAAAGGGUGCGCAGGCGGUCUGUUAAGUCAGCGGUCAAAGCCCGGGGCUCAACCCCGGCCCGCCGUUGAAACUGGCAGUCUCGAGUUGGAGAGAAGUAUGCGGAAUGCGCGGUGUAGCGGUGAAAUGCAUAGAUAUCGCGCAGAACUCCGAUUGCGAAGGCAGCAUGCCGGCUCCACACUGACGCUGAGGCACGAAAGCGUGGGUAUCGAACAGGAUUAGAUACCCUGGUAGUCCACGCAGUAAACGAUGAAUGCUGGCUGUCCGGGGGGAUUGACCCCUGGGUGGCGAAGCGAAAGCGAUAAGCAUUCCACCUGGGGAGUACGCCGGCAACGGUGAAACUCAAAGGGAUUGACGGGGGCCCGCACAAGCGGAGGAACAUGUGGUUUAAUUCGAUGAUACGCGAGGAACCUUACCCGGGCUCAAACGGGGGGUGACUCAGGCAGAGACGCCUGUUUCCCACGGGACACUCCCCGAGGUGCUGCAUGGUUGUCGUCAGCUCGUGCCGUGAGGUGUCGGCUUAAGUGCCAUAACGAGCGCAACCCCCGCGUGCAGUUGCUAACAGAUAACGCUGAGGACUCUGCACGGACUGCCGGCGCAAGCCGCGAGGAAGGCGGGGAUGACGUCAAAUCAGCACGGCCCUUACGUCCGGGGCGACACACGUGUUACAAUGGGUGGUACAGCGGGAAGCCAGGCGGCGACGCCGAGCGGAACCCGAAAUCCACUCUCAGUUCGGAUCGGAGUCUGCAACCCGACUCCGUGAAGCUGGAUUCGCUAGUAAUCGCGCAUCAGCCAUGGCGCGGUGA
RNAcentral lists this ribosomal RNA (1348 nucleotides) under uncultured bacterium. Its description in RNAcentral is "partial 16S ribosomal RNA". It matches the Rfam family "Bacterial small subunit ribosomal RNA", at positions 28 to 1365 of the family's 1533-position model. The record is from RNAcentral.